UAAGUUGAUCAAAUUAAAAUUAAUGAACCGGUUGGUGUCUAAGGUAAGUUCGGCAGUUUGACCAGUGGUUCUUAAGUGGGAGCUACUCACAUUGAUUCGAUCUCUGAUGAGUUAAUGGCAUAUCCCCACCACUGAUCUCACUUACCUGGCCAACCUGGUGAGUUAGGUUUUGAUUAGGUCACUUGGUGAUUAGAGCUCACC
This 201-nucleotide long non-coding RNA is filed under the name Elaeis guineensis (African oil palm). RNAcentral describes it as "long non-coding RNA (EGUI_LNC058508)". The record is from RNAcentral. Lineage: Eukaryota; Viridiplantae; Streptophyta; Magnoliopsida; Arecales; Arecaceae.